AUCUAGCCAAAAUCUUCCCUUGGAAGCAAGAACUUUCGGGUUGACAUCCCGAGGAGGAGUUUUAGUUGGUAGGCGCUUUAGCGAAUCCGACACUACUUCACUUCAGGGGGUGUCUUUUGAAGACUUCCCUUCCUCGAGGAUA
Molecule: non-coding RNA, 142 nt
Organism: Agrilus planipennis (emerald ash borer)
Lineage: Eukaryota; Metazoa; Arthropoda; Insecta; Coleoptera; Buprestidae
Source: Rfam